CUGCAAUUUUCUUCCACAAAAAUGUUUGGACAACUCUGUUCAUACAUAUUUCUCUUUUUCUGUGAGAGUACUCCAAAGAAUUUUUACCCUUCCCUCAUCACCACUCUGCUUGGAUGCCUUCGUAGUGAUGGGAGGAAACAUCUGUGGUGCCAAAGGUGAAGUUCCAUGUCUUGUCUGAGUCUUACAAACAACUUAUAUCUAUUGAAUGGGAGAGAUUCUCUUCCUCCUUGUUCUCCUUACUGGUGCUCUUGCUUUCAGCUGUGCAGUCUCAUGCUGAGUCUGCAGCUCCUAAAACUUUUUACUGAAACAACUUUGUUUCUGUCUUGGAAGAAAACAAGAUUGAUUUUUCUGCUAUAAUUUGCUGCUGGAUUUCUGGAUUGUAUCAAUUCCCAGGAGCUCCUAACAAGCAUCACAUCUGGUGGUACACAAGACUGUGUGUCUAGGAGUGAUGUAGGGACUGUGGGACUCCCAUGUUUCAACAGCGGCAGAGAAAUAUUGGAUGGGCUCAGUCGUCCUGUGCUGGUUCUCCACCAAGAUGGAGUCACUUGUCACUUGAACUACAAUAACUCUCCAUUUGUGACCUCUCAGCCUGCCUCCAGAAUGAAAGGUGGAUGUGCUCACAUAGAAAUCCUCUCCUGAAUGUUCAGCUGGGAUGAGUGUUCCUACUGUCUCCCGAGCCACAUUUGACCAGAAUGAGGGCAACAAUUCUCUAGCAGCAGUUUGUUCCCUUGCUGUGGACUGCAUUCCUUCAGGAGAUUCUCAGGAUAAAAAGAGGUAUGAAGAGAAGCCUAGUUGUAUAGAGCUAAUACUCCUUACUUUGAAGAUCUCAUUUGAAUGGCCGAUGGAGAAAUGCCCUGAAAUUAGAGAUAUUUCAGAGAAAAAAGUAGGGAAUCACACCGACACAAGAAAGAAAGAACAUCCUGCGGUUGGAAAAUCACAGGCGUGUCUGCAAUGCUCGAGAGGAGACAGAGCGAUUCAAAGGCCCUCAGACUGUGAUGGGAAACAGAGAACCAGACUUCAGGUGUAAACUGGAGAGAGCUUUGCUGCCAGCAAAAUGUCCUUUGAGGUGGUUGCAGCUCAAAAGAGUUGAAUUGAGAAGACCCAGAGUUUGACUAGAAGCCAAGAAAAAGAUCAGCUCAGGUCUCUCCUGGGCAUUACAGUCCUGUUGAAGGGCCAGCUGUGUGAGAAGCCGCUGAAGAAUGUCCGUGACCUCGUAACUCCUGAAUCCUCUGCUUUUCCUCUAUAGCUCCAAUUAAGGUUUGUGCUUCGUUCCUCACUGUGUGUCACAGUUUUCUCUGCCAACAGCUUCAUUGAUCAAGGCAUAAAUGAAGGCAAUUUUCAUCUAGGCAUUCAGGAAAUGGAACAGGAUUAGAUCUACAGAAAAUACAACUGCAGAAGUCCUGCCAGAACAGCGUGUUGCUUCCUCCACCAUCCUGUCAAAGUCACAUCUGAUGAGGAUGAAUAAUCUGUACCACCCUGACCUACCUGUUAGGAGGACGGAUUCUGAACUGGAUGAUUAUGGAUACUGAUUUUCUUUCCUCUUCAAAAUUACUGUCUCCAAACUAAGAUGAGGAAAGCUGAACUGUCAAAGUAACAUCUGACUUGAGAGUAGCCAGUAUUCUCCAAGGCAUCAGCAUUUAAGAGGACCUGAGAAAAGAUCCUGUGCCUACCAGGAAAUUUCACUGAUCUCAUCAAGCCACAAAACUCAAGAAGGAGGAAAAAUCUGCACAAAUUAAGAAGUGCCCAG
This is a long non-coding RNA of Melospiza melodia melodia, 1747 nucleotides long. RefSeq lists it as uncharacterized. Lineage: Eukaryota; Metazoa; Chordata; Aves; Passeriformes; Passerellidae. The record is from RefSeq and is a predicted model, not a curated record. The transcript is spliced from 7 exons.